Molecule: ribosomal RNA, 441 nt
Filed under: uncultured bacterium
Lineage: Bacteria
Description: bacterial SSU rRNA
Rfam family: Bacterial small subunit ribosomal RNA
Source: RNAcentral
CCUACGGGGGGCAGCAGUGAGGAAUUUUCGUCAAUGGGGGCAACCCUGAACGAGCAACGCCGCGUGCAGGAGGAAGGUCUUCGGAUCGUAAACUGCUUUUCCCAGGGAAGAGAACGGACGGUACCUGGGGAAGAAGCCCCGGCUAACUACGUGCCAGCAGCCGCGGUAAUACGUAGGGGGCGAGCGUUGUCCGGAUUUAUUGGGCGUAAAGCGUCCGCAGGCGGUCUACCAAGUCUGGGGUGACAGUUGUCGGCUUCACCGAGAAAGUGCUUCAGAAACUGGUGGACUUGAGGGCUUGAGAGGAAGGCGGAAUUCCGGGUGGAGUGGUGAAAUGCGUAGAUAUCCGGAGGAACACCGAUGGCGUAGGCAGCCUUCUGGCAAGCACCUGACGCUGAUGGACGAAAGCUAGGGGAGCAAACGGGAUUAGAUACCCCAGUAGUC